GACGAACGCUGGCGGCGUGCUUAACACAUGCAAGUCGAACGGAAAGGCCCUGCUUUUGUGGGGUGCUCGAGUGGCGAACGGGUGAGUAACACGUGAGUAACCUGCCCUUGACUUUGGGAUAACUUCAGGAAACUGGGGCUAAUACCGGAUAGGAGCUCCGCCUGCAGGGGGGGGGUUGGAAAGUUUGGGCGGUUGGGGAUGGCCUGCCGGCUAAUCGGCUGGUGGGUGGGGUAGUGGCUAACCAAGGCUUUGGUGGGUGGCCGGCCUGGGAGGGUGACCGGCCACAUUGGGAUGGGGAUACGGCCCAGACUCCUACGGGGGGCAGCAGUGGGGAUUAUGGAACAAUGGGCGGAAGCCGGAGGCAGCAAGGCCGCGGGCGGGAUGACGGCCUUCGGGUGUAAAACCGCUUUCGCAGGUGACGAAGCGUGAGUGACGGUACCGGGUAAAGAAGCACCGGCUAACUACGUG
Molecule: ribosomal RNA, 468 nt
Filed under: uncultured bacterium
Lineage: Bacteria
Description: partial 16S ribosomal RNA
Rfam family: Bacterial small subunit ribosomal RNA
Source: RNAcentral